This is a long non-coding RNA of Pistacia vera, 768 nucleotides long. RefSeq lists it as uncharacterized. The transcript has 4 exons. The record is from RefSeq and is a predicted model, not a curated record. Lineage: Eukaryota; Viridiplantae; Streptophyta; Magnoliopsida; Sapindales; Anacardiaceae.
AAGAAAAGAAAGAAGGGAGAGAUAGGUGAAAUGCGAGUAUAGAGAGAGAGAGAGGAGAGAAGAGAGAGAUUGAGGUGGCUGGAAAAGUGGCUGCCGACGAGCAAAACUUCGGUGAUCGGAAAGAGUGGAGGAAGAUCAAGCACAGGGGAGGGGGACUUGUGUAUGGAGGAUUUAUUGGAUUUGUAUAUAGGGAGGGAAGUGAGGGCACCAUUAGAGGAUUUCAAUCCUUCUUCGGAUCAAGGAUUCAACUUCUAAAAGAUUUGGCAUUGUAAUUUGAUUGUAACAACAAAUUAUGAUCAUAUGAACAAAUAUCAAUGUAAUUUUGUCCCCUAUCGUAAGAUUGAUUACCACUUUUGGCAAAGGAAGAAGUUUCGACAUUUUUCUAGACUUGGAGGUCGUCAUACACUAUGUUGGUCAACUCUGCCCGUAGCUUCCCCUGCACUAACAAUUUCAAGUAGUGUUGGAUUGAAUAAGAUGAGUGAUAAUGUCAACUGGUCCAUUGAGAUAACCCGCAAAUUUCUUGUUCUGUUGUCUGAACGUGCAAAAACUUCUCACGGUACUUCUAUUAAAUCAAUAGAUUACCAGAAUAUGUUGGGUGAUUUAUCAUCAUUGGCUGGGAAGAGACUCAACGUCACACAUUUAUCUUCUAAGUUCUUUUGCUUGAAAAAAGUAUAUCAAGCUUGGUAAAAAUUAUUUCAACACACGACGUUCGGUUGGGAUCAUGAGUCCCAAACUCCAACACAUUCCUUAGAGGUUUGGGAAGAAUAU